AGGAUGAACGCUGGCGGCGUGCCUAACACAUGCAAGUCGAACGUCCUGUCUCGCAAGAGGCGGGGAGUGGCGGACGGGUGAGUACCACGUGGGUCAUCUACCGUGAGGUGAGGAAUACCGGCGAGAAAUCGCCGACAAGACCGCAUAGCCUCGGUGCAAGUCGAGGAAAGCUCUCUCGAGAGAGGGAGCGCCACACGAGGAGCCUGCGCCCGAUUAGCUAGCUGGUGGAGUAAUGGUUCACCAGGGCGACGAUCGGUAGCUGGUCUGAGAGGACGAUCAGCCACACUGGGAUUGAGAACGGCCCAGACUCCUACGGGGGCAGCAGUGAGGAAUUUCGUCAAUGGGGGCAACCCUGAACGAGCAACGCCGCGUGCAGGAAGAAGGUUUUCGGAUCGUAAACUGCUUUUCUCGGGAAGAGAACGGACGGUACCCGAGGAAUCGAGCCCCGGCUAACUACGCGCCAGCAGCCGCGGU
This 474-nucleotide ribosomal RNA is filed under the name uncultured bacterium. RNAcentral's name for it is "SSU rRNA". It matches the Rfam family "Bacterial small subunit ribosomal RNA", at positions 26 to 521 of the family's 1533-position model. The record is from RNAcentral.